Molecule: ribosomal RNA, 464 nt
Filed under: uncultured bacterium
Lineage: Bacteria
Description: partial 16S ribosomal RNA
Rfam family: Bacterial small subunit ribosomal RNA
Source: RNAcentral
GACGAACGCUGGCGGCGUGCUUAACACAUGCAAGUCGAACGGUAAGGCCCCAGCUUGCUGGGGUACACGAGUGGCGAACGGGUGAGUAACACGUGGGUGACCUGCCCCGCACUUCGGGAUAAGCCUGGGAAACUGGGUCUAAUACCGGAUAGGACCGCACCGUGAGGGUGUGGUGGAAAGUUUUUCGGUGUGGGAUGGGCCCGCGGCCUAUCAGCUUGUUGGUGUGGUAAUGGCCUACCAAGGCGGCGACGGGUAGCCGGGCUGAGAGGGUGGACGGCCACAUUGGGACUGAGAUGCGGCACAGACUCCUACGGUAGGCAGCAGUGGAGAAGAGUGCACAAUGGGCGGAAGGCUGAUGCAGCGAAGCAGUGUGGGGGAUGACGGGCUGCGGGUUGUAAACUCCUUUCACCAUCGACGAAGGUUUUCUGACGGUAGAUGGAGAAGAAGCACCGGCUAACUACGUG